Molecule: ribosomal RNA, 398 nt
Filed under: Coniolariella sp. AH24323
Lineage: Eukaryota; Fungi; Ascomycota; Sordariomycetes; Xylariales; Xylariaceae
Also listed under: 1 other name
Description: eukaryotic LSU rRNA
Rfam family: Eukaryotic large subunit ribosomal RNA
Source: RNAcentral
GCGGUGCCUUCCGAGUUCCCUGGAACGGGACGCCUUAGAGGGUGAGAGCCCCGUACGGUUGGACACCAAGCCUCUGUAAAGCUCCUUCGACGAGUCGAGUAGUUUGGGAAUGCUGCUCUAAAUGGGAGGUAAAUUUCUUCUAAAGCUAAAUAUUGGCCAGAGACCGAUAGCGCACAAGUAGAGUGAUCGAAAGAUGAAAAGCACUUUGAAAAGAGGGUUAAAUAGCACGUGAAAUUGUUGAAAGGGAAGCGUUUGCGACCAGACCUCUCCCCGGCGGAUCAUCCGGCGUUCUCGCCGGUGCACUCCGCCGGGCUGAGGCCAGCAUCGGUUCCCGCGGGGGGACAAAAGCGGGGGGAACGUAGCUCCCUCGGGAGUGUUAUAGCCCUCCGCAUAAUACC